Molecule: ribosomal RNA, 497 nt
Filed under: uncultured bacterium
Lineage: Bacteria
Description: partial 16S ribosomal RNA
Rfam family: Bacterial small subunit ribosomal RNA
Source: RNAcentral
GACGAACGCUGGCGGCGUGCCUAAUACAUGCAAGUUGAGCGAUGAAGAUUGGUGCUUGCACCAAUUUGAAGAGCAGCGAACGGGUGAGUAACGCGUGGGGAAUCUGCCUUUGAGCGGGGGACAACAUUUGGAAACGAAUGCUAAUACCGCAUAACAACUUUAAACAUAAGUUUUAAGUUUGAAAGAUGCAAUUGCAUCACUCAAAGAUGAUCCCGCGUUGUAUUAGCUAGUUGGUGAGGUAAAGGCUCACCAAGGCGAUGAUACAUAGCCGACCUGAGAGGGUGAUCGGCCGCAUUGGGACUGUGACACGGCCCAAACUCCUACGGGAGGCAGCAGUAGGGAAUCCUCGGCAAUGGACGAAAGUCUGACCGCGCAACGCCGCGUGAGUGAAGAAGGUUUUCGGAUCGUAAAACUCUGUUGGUAGAGAAGAACGUUGGUGAGAGUGGAAAGCUCAUCAAGUGACGGUAACUACCCAGAAAGGGACGGCUAACUACGUG